AUUAUUAGAAUUACUGGAUUAAAAUAAAAUGGACUCAUAAUCCAUUGGUCGUAGGUUCGAAUCCUACAGGGCCCACCA
RNAcentral lists this transfer RNA (78 nucleotides) under Bacillota bacterium. RNAcentral describes it as "tRNA-Met". It matches the Rfam family "tRNA". From Rfam's summary of the family: Transfer RNA (tRNA) molecules are approximately 80 nucleotides in length. Their secondary structure includes four short double-helical elements and three loops (D, anti-codon, and T loops). The record is from RNAcentral. Lineage: Bacteria; Bacillati; Bacillota.